GUACACGAGCGGCGAACGGGUGAGUAACACGUGAGCAACCUGCCCCUGACUCUGGGAUAAGCGGUGGAAACGCCGUCUAAUACCGGAUACGACCCGCCACCUCAUGGUGGAGGGUGGAAAGUUUUUCGGUCAGGGAUGGGCUCGCGGCCUAUCAGCUUGUUGGUGGGGUAACGGCCUACCAAGGCGAUUACGGGUAGCCGGCCUGAGAGGGCGACCGGCCACACUGGGACUGAGACACGGCCCAGACUCCUGCGGGAGGCAGCAGUGGGGAAUAUUGCGCAAUGGGCGAAAGCCUGACGCAGCGACGCCGCGUGGGGGAUGACGGCCUUCGGGUUGUAAACCUCUUUUACCACCAACGCAGGCUCGAAGUUUUCUUCGGGUUGACGGUAGGUGGGGAAUAAGGACCGGCUAACUACGUGCCAGCAGCCGCGGUAAUACGUGGGGGGGGGGAGCGUUGUCCGGAAUUAUUGGGCGUAAAGAGCUCGUAGGCGGCGUGUCGCGUCUGCUGUGAAAGACCGGGGCUUAACU
Molecule: ribosomal RNA, 528 nt
Filed under: Nocardiopsis sp. SJKR1003
Lineage: Bacteria; Bacillati; Actinomycetota; Actinomycetes; Streptosporangiales; Nocardiopsidaceae
Description: bacterial SSU rRNA
Rfam family: Bacterial small subunit ribosomal RNA
Source: RNAcentral